AAUGGAUGGCGCUGGAGCGUCGUGCCUAUACUCGGCCGUCUGCGGCAAAGUGGGGCCGGUCAUCGGUGCUCGGUCCCGGCAAGCCCAGACGAGUAGGGUGGCGAUGCGGUGUGCUUUGAAGGGCAGGUCGCGAGACCGCCUGGAGCCGCCGUAUGUGCAGAUCUUGGUGGUAGUAGCAAAUACUCGAGAGGGGCCCUCGGGGGCUGCCGUGGAGAAGGGUUUCUUGUGAACAGCCGUUGUCCAAGAGUCAGUCGAUCCUAAGCCCGGGGAGAGAUCCUAAUCGCCCGGGCGAGAGGGAAUCCGGUCCGUAUUCCGGAACCCGACGCGGAACCGCUCUGUUCGGGGCUCUUGUCUCGUUCGGGCGACCGGAAUGAACCAGAAGAAGCCGCCGGGGGGUCCGGGAAGAGUUCUCUUUUCUCUGUGAGCGUUGUACGUCCCUGGAAUCCUCUAGCCGGGCGAUAGGGACGCGAGCGCGAAGAGCACCGCUUGCGGCGGUGUCCGUGACCCCCACGCGGACCUUGAAAAUUCUGGUGAGAGCCACGCGGAGUCUCGCGUCGGUUCGUACCGAUAUCCGCAGCAGGUCUCCGAGGUGAGCAGCCUCUAGCCGCAUA
Molecule: ribosomal RNA, 611 nt
Filed under: Pterocomma salicis
Lineage: Eukaryota; Metazoa; Arthropoda; Insecta; Hemiptera; Aphididae
Description: partial 28S ribosomal RNA
Rfam family: Eukaryotic large subunit ribosomal RNA
Source: RNAcentral